AUCCAACUGACGAAUCCGAAACAGGAUGAAACACGGGUCUUCUAU
Molecule: non-coding RNA, 45 nt
Filed under: Schistosoma mattheei
Lineage: Eukaryota; Metazoa; Platyhelminthes; Trematoda; Strigeidida; Schistosomatidae
Source: RNAcentral